This 737-nucleotide ribosomal RNA is filed under the name Lentilactobacillus buchneri. RNAcentral's name for it is "bacterial SSU rRNA". It matches the Rfam family "Bacterial small subunit ribosomal RNA", at positions 56 to 749 of the family's 1533-position model. Lineage: Bacteria; Bacillati; Bacillota; Bacilli; Lactobacillales; Lactobacillaceae. The record is from RNAcentral.
UGCAAGUCGAACGCGUCUCCGUUGAUGAUUUUAGGUGCUUGCACUUGAAAGAUUUAACAUUGAGACGAGUGGCGAACUGGUGAGUAACACGUGGGUAACCUGCCCUUGAAGUAGGGGAUAACACUUGGAAACAGGUGCUAAUACCGUAUAACAACCAAAACCACCUGGUUUUGGUUUAAAAGACGGCUUCGGCUGUCACUUUAGGAUGGACCCGCGGCGUAUUAGCUUGUUGGUAAGGUAACGGCCUACCAAGGCGAUGAUACGUAGCCGACCUGAGAGGGUAAUCGGCCACAUUGGGACUGAGACACGGCCCAAACUCCUACGGGAGGCAGCAGUAGGGAAUCUUCCACAAUGGACGAAAGUCUGAUGGAGCAACGCCGCGUGAGUGAUGAAGGGUUUCGGCUCGUAAAACUCUGUUGUUGGAGAAGAACAGGUGUCAGAGUAACUGUUGACAUCUUGACGGUAUCCAACCAGAAAGCCACGGCUAACUACGUGCCAGCAGCCGCGGUAAUACGUAGGUGGCAAGCGUUGUCCGGAUUUAUUGGGCGUAAAGCGAGCGCAGGCGGUUUUUUAGGUCUGAUGUGAAAGCCUUCGGCUUAACCGGAGAAGUGCAUCGGAAACCGGGAGACUUGAGUGCAGAAGAGGACAGUGGAACUCCAUGUGUAGCGGUGAAAUGCGUAGAUAUAUGGAAGAACACCAGUGGCGAAGGCGGCUGUCUGGUCUGUAACUGACGCUGA